Drosophila yakuba is the source of this 1687-nucleotide long non-coding RNA. RefSeq lists it as uncharacterized. NCBI's taxonomy places the organism in Eukaryota, Metazoa, Arthropoda, Insecta, Diptera, Drosophilidae. The record is from RefSeq and is a predicted model, not a curated record. The transcript is spliced from 3 exons.
UUGAAGUGUCGCUUGUCACAGUUUUGGGUUAGUCCGAAAGUAGCAUUAUCGGGGUUAGGAACUUGCUUUAAGUAGGGCCACCUACCCAUUAACCUAUCAAUGCAGUUUGGGUUCUAUCGAAAUUGCAAGCUUACACUGUAAUAGAUAAGAAAACGCAACCUGGGCAUACUAGUGAACGCCAUGCCGGUCGUUCUCUUUCCGUUUUAACCUUGGAGGUGAUCAGACGUACAGGUGCGACCAACCAAAAAAAAAAAAAAAAAAACACACCCACGUUUUCUUUCUAAUUUUUUUUGUAUUUCGAUAUUCUUCGGUGAGUUAGUUUCUAAAGUGAAAUUCGCUUUUGCUAAUUAUUUUCGUCUUUAGUACCCAAGCCCAGAUUAGAAAUCCCACCAACUGUAUUUAAAUUUGGGGUUAGUUCGGUGCCAGAUCAAAGGUUCUGGCACCUUGUGCUACCCACAAGCAACCGCCGGCUCCAAGCCGUACCACCAGAGCAGCACGUCCAGCAGAGCAGCCGAUGCACAUCGAUCAUCAGAACAUCUCUUUUGGCCGAAGCCAUCGGUGUUCAAGUGUUAUUAGUGUGAAUUAAUCUACCCCCCGCAAAAGUUCAGUGAAAAACAAAACCUGUAGCGAAAAACGAAAAAAAAGGGAAAACAAAAGCCCCUCACAUUAAGCGGUUCAAUUUUUUUUUGGUUAUACCACGAGGUGGCUACACUGUGACAAACUAAUGGUUUUACCGCACGCAUUACAAAACAUGUGCUAAUACACUAAUAAAAUAAUUGGACACCAACGAUCGCCAAAACAAAAAGAAUGAAUUCAAUUUAAAACGUUACGAAAACUACGAGUUUACUAUACCCGAGAAAAAAAAAAAAGAAAUUAUAUAUAUUUUAAAUAUAGAAUAAAUUAAAUUAUAAAUAGAUUAAAUUAAAUUAAAUAAAUAAAAAAAGGUAAAAAGUGAAAGUCAGUGGUGGAAAGAUUUGGCCAUGCCAGCUAGAAAAAAAUAAAUAAAAUAAAAAAAAACUUUUUAAAUAAAUAGUAAUAUAGAAAAAUAAUUAAAAUUAAAAACAUAAUGGGUUAAUCAUACUCCAGCCAUUCAUCCAACGCAAUACCUCAAUAAUAUAUAUAUAUAUCCAUACACAACUUUUUCCGCAAACAUUUAUCAAGACCAAAACAUGAAACAAUAAGAAGAAAUUCGCCGGAGAAAGUACUUUCGCCGUGGGAGAAAAUAACAUGUAAGUUAUAUCUCAAAAUUUGUCUCUAUUACUUGCAACGAUAUAUUAUUUAAAAAACGGCAUUGCAUUUUUGGGGGAUGGCUCUUUCAGUCUUUAAAUUUUACAGUUUUAUAUAUUAAAUCUAUUCUUUCUUUUGAUCGCCUAAUUCGUCGCGAAACCCAAAACCCAAGCUUGACCUACGACAACAUGUUAUUGCAUGGUACAGUCGAGGAUCGAAAUAUUGUGUACACCGAGCCUCUCUCGUGUAUAGGUACAGUCGAGGACCGAAAUAUUGGGUACGCCGGUAGUAAAUUGAAAAUAUUUUAAUUUCUUUUUCUUCUUAUCGAAUUAUAUUACAUUUAUAUUAUAUUAAUACCUAUGCGAAUGGUAUAGGUGGUUUUGAAACAUAUUUUCUUUUCAGCCACUGUAUUUUCACUCAUACUUACAUAUAUACAACGACUAUUACAAUGAAUAAAUAA